RNAcentral lists this ribosomal RNA (254 nucleotides) under uncultured bacterium. RNAcentral's name for it is "partial 16S ribosomal RNA". It matches the Rfam family "Bacterial small subunit ribosomal RNA", at positions 524 to 776 of the family's 1533-position model. The record is from RNAcentral.
UACGUAGGGUCCGAGCGUUGUCCGGAAUUACUGGGCGUAAAGGGCGCGUAGGCGGCCUGCUAAGUCGGACGUGAAAUCCCUCGGCUCAACCGGGGAACUGCGUCCGAUACUGGCGAGGCUUGAAUCCGGGAGAGGGAUGUGGAAUUCCAGGUGUAGCGGUGAAAUGCGUAGAUAUCUGGAGGAACACCAGUGGCAAAGGCGGCAUCCUGGACCGGUAUUGACGCUGAGGCGCGAAAGCUAGGGUAGCAAACGGG